CUUGUACACACCGCCCGUCACACCAUGGGAGUGGGCGAUACCAGAAGUAGGUAGCCUAACCGCAAGGGGGGCGCCUACCACGGUAUGGUUCAUGACUGGGGUG
Molecule: ribosomal RNA, 103 nt
Filed under: uncultured bacterium
Lineage: Bacteria
Description: partial 16S ribosomal RNA
Rfam family: Bacterial small subunit ribosomal RNA
Source: RNAcentral